Molecule: long non-coding RNA, 1752 nt
Filed under: Homo sapiens (human)
Lineage: Eukaryota; Metazoa; Chordata; Mammalia; Primates; Hominidae
Description: HSALNT0131938
Source: RNAcentral
AAAAGAAUCAGUCAGGGCUUGUUAUCCUGUGGAUAUGGAUCUGCAUUUUUGUUUUCCUCCUGCAAGAUUUCUGAUUUAUUUUUAUCAAAGAAAUUGCAAGUCCUGAGGAAAGUAUGGAGAAGAUGCCUCUUUCGUGUGAGGGGCUCUGCAAGCUGAUUCAUUUCUAAAAGCAAUCGUGUGCUGUCAAAUGAAGACCCCCAGGCCCAGGGAAUUCGAUCACUGGCUGAGAACUCACAGCUAAGGAGGGGGAGCCUGGGAUUCCUUCCUGGUGCUCACACCCGAGACCCUUUUGUCACUGUGUUCAAAGGCACUGCUGCACAGACGUGAUUCUUCUUUCAACGAACAUCUCCAGGACUUCCUCCGGGGUCUGUGACCUCAUCUAUAAUUAAAGGGAAAGAGAUCUUCCUGAGAUUAGCCCAUUUAACUUGUUUAACUAGAUGCAUGCUGCAAAAACUGUUUUCAAGAAAUGAACAAUUGACUAUUUAAAAAGAGCCAAGCCUUAAAAGAAGACCAGGUUUUAAUAGGGAAAACAUUCAGUAAAAUAUUAUUCUGCAGUAACUUGUGGAAUGACUGCUGUACACACAGCUCUGGGCUGGGUACCUGGAAGCUCACGAGCUUGUUUGGCCUCCCCUCCUGGACACAGGAGGUGUCAAGGCUGUGGUCAGCAGAAUCUACCCAGCUGGACACUGAGUGGACGCCCUGUGGGGUGGCUGUGAAAUGGGUCCACUUUGUAGUGGCAGCAUCCCUGAUAGUACUUCUGAAAGGGACAAGAUAGAAAAGCAAACCAAACUGAAACUGAGAAGUCGUGGAUGAUACCAGGGGCGCACAGUGGCUGACAGGAAGAGACUGCCUGGGGGGUCUCGGAGCCAGUGGCUGGAGUGGAGUUAGUUUGACCGAGUCCUGGACUAGGGAGGGGACCCCCAAAGCAUGCCCAGCAUGGCGCUAGUGGGGCCCAGGCACCCCAUGUCCCAACGACUAGAACCAAUAAUCAGGUUAACACUCAUUAAAUAAGAAGUGUCUGUGCCUCCUGGGAUAAAAAUCCUUUAUAACGAUCUGGGACGCGAGCUCAAGUCCCUGUUCCCUUGUCCUCCACAGCAGUGUGCAGCGUGGAACUCGGCGGUUCGGGGUCCCUGAGUCCCUGAGCCACUGUCUACCCCCUGCUCCAUCCCAAAUGCAGAGACCCCUGAGCACUCAUGUGGACAUGCCCCACCAUGCCCUGGCUGCUCCUUCAGGAUGGCGCAGGGCCACCGCUAUGGGAGGACUCUAAAGGGUGGGUCUCAAGCCCUCCUCUGCUUACCCUAAAUCAGGAGAGCAAACCGAAUGCACUGCCCUCUUCCUUCACUCCUGCAUCCCAUCCCCCGCUAUGGCCUCACUAUCAGGUCUGCUGUGUGCCAAAAUAUUUUACCAUGCCCUAAAAGUGAGAUGUUGGAAGUGGACAAGGAGGAAAUAUUUAUGAAUAUUUGAGUCUGUUAUUCUUUAUGUUAAGCAUUUUGGCUUCUGUUGUACUCCUAAAUCACUACUGAGAGCAGAGAAAGAGCUCUUUGUAGAAAUGAGAUGUGUUCCUGUGUGCUGCCUGUGACGCAUCCCGUUGUCACCGGAGUGCCGUGGCCCUAAGGAAUGACAGCAUUAAGGCAUGGACGUUAAAGAUGGACAAAAGAAUUGUUCACGGUGUUGUAUUUUAAAAUGACUAUGUGUAUGACAAUUAAACUAUUGUGUCUUCGUUUACUCCAUGUGUUCUGCCUGACAGCUGGG